UACGUAGGGUGCAAGCGUUGUCCGGAAUUAUUGGGCGUAAAGAGCUCGUAGGCGGCUUGUCGCGUCGGCUGUGAAAACCUGGGGCUCAACCCCGGGCCUGCAGCCGAUACGGGCAAGCUAGAAUUCGGUAGGGGAGACUGGAAUUCCUGGUGUAGCGGUGAAAUGCGCAGAUAUCAGGAAGAACACCUAUGGCGAAGGCAGCUCUCUGGGACGGUACUGACGCUGAGACGCGAAAGCGUGGGGAGCGAACAGG
Molecule: ribosomal RNA, 253 nt
Filed under: uncultured bacterium
Lineage: Bacteria
Description: partial 16S ribosomal RNA
Rfam family: Bacterial small subunit ribosomal RNA
Source: RNAcentral